Molecule: ribosomal RNA, 253 nt
Filed under: uncultured bacterium
Lineage: Bacteria
Description: partial 16S ribosomal RNA
Rfam family: Bacterial small subunit ribosomal RNA
Source: RNAcentral
GACGUAGGGCGCGAGCGUUGUCCGGAUUUAUUGGGCGUAAAGAGCUCGUAGGCGGCUUGUCGCGUCGUCCGUGAAAACUUGGGGCUCAACCCCAAGCUUGCGGUCGAUACGGGCUAGCUAGAGUGUGGUAGGGGAGAUCGGAAUUCCUGGUGUAGCGGUGAAAUGCGCAGAUAUCAGGAGGAACACCGGUGGCGAAGGCGGAUCUCUGGGCCAUUACUGACGCUGAGGAGCGAAAGCGUGGGGAGCGAACAGG